UUCAGCUGACUGUCAACCAGCACCUACAGACUUCCAAGUUUGACCUGUGGAUCUCCCCUGUGCAGACUGCCAUCGGUAGAGCAUCACUUUUUUACUACCAGAUACCCAAAAUGGAUUUUUCCUCUUGAGAUGUCGAGUUAUGACUGGAGAAACAAUUACCUCUGAAGAAAGACUAAUGGCAGUUUCCUUUUCCCAAGAAGAUUCAAAGCAGAGAUGGGCUAUGAACUGGUUAAAUAAGCCACAGAUGUCAAGACACCAGUGAUAUAGAAUUAUGUAGUGCAACAUUAGAAAAUACUUUAAGAGCUGAAGUUAGAUUUGGAAUAGAAUUGGAAUUUUCACUGCUCUAAAUCUUUGUUUUAAUUUUGGUGUGUGCAUAUUAUCAUGCCAUGUUUUAUUGCUUUACCAUGUUCUGUGAUAUCUCCAGGGAAUGUUUGUAAAGGAAUAUGAAACAAUUCACCAAACUUCAAGUGAUGGACAGAAUCAAACAACACCAAUGAAAAUUUGCAGAUUUGGUAUGAAUAGGGGUACAAGCUUUAUUAUUUAUUACUACACUGAAAGCAUUGCUUCUGCAUCUCUUGUCAUGUUAAUAACAGUCCUUACUUUAAGAAUGCCAGGAAUGUUAUUCAGUAGUCCUAUGUUUGAAGAAUAUAGAUAAAGUCAGUCUGACAGAGUUCAUAUAGGAAGGAUUCCAUCCAUGUAAGUUUUUACUUGAUAAAUGAAGACUGGUCCUAACUAUACUAUCAGGGAUUGAAAUUGCAGCCAGCAACACAAGAUGCAACACAAAAACUGGACUUUACCUUCAUUGUGGAUUUAUAUGGUAUACAUUAGACAAAACAAUUAUCUGGAGGUAGUUCAUUUUUCCCCUCUUCUUUUGAUUUUUUAGAGUUACUUUAUAACCUUUUUGGCAAUUUGUAAGGGAAGUGCUUUAAAAUGCAAGCUGCCUUGUGGUAAAGUUUGUGAAUCUUUUUUCUUUUUAAACAAUUGUUUUAUAGUGAGCAAAACAUGCAGGAUGAUAGUCCUUAAAAACAGUAGUCUUGUCCUAAUCCUUUACCUCAUCCUUUGCUGGGUUAUGCAGUUAUAGCACAAAAAUGUCAGAUUGGAAAGGGUCAAUCCUUUGAUCCUGUUCAGUUUUUAGAAAGAUCAAGGUUACAGAUUUUGCCCAACUGCAGCAAUGUGGCUACCUGUCAACCAGCAAUUAUAUAGAGACUCAGCUUGUUUAGCAUACACCACUGAGCAACCAUCAAAGGUUAACCAUUUUCCAUACUAAUCUAGCUGGAUGCAAACCAACUACUUAAUGAAAAAUGCUCUGUAUCCUGUUACUGUUUUUCUGAGUAAUGCAGUCCAACUCACCCUACUUUAAAAAUUCUUCCUGCCGUCCACCUGUGCCAGUGCACUUGU
This is a long non-coding RNA of Empidonax traillii (willow flycatcher), 1398 nucleotides long. RefSeq lists it as uncharacterized. The record is from RefSeq and is a predicted model, not a curated record. The transcript is spliced from 3 exons. Lineage: Eukaryota; Metazoa; Chordata; Aves; Passeriformes; Tyrannidae.